Molecule: ribosomal RNA, 253 nt
Filed under: uncultured prokaryote
Description: partial 16S ribosomal RNA
Rfam family: Bacterial small subunit ribosomal RNA
Source: RNAcentral
UACAGAGGUCUCAAGCGUUGUUCGGAUUCAUUGGGCGUAAAGGGCGCGUAGGCGGCAAUUCAAGUCAUCUGUGAAAUCUCCGGGCUUAACUCGGAACGGUCAACUGAUACUGCUCGACUAGAGUGCGGAAGGGGCAACUGGAAUUCUUGGUGUAGCGGUGAAAUGCGUAGAUAUCAAGAGGAACACCUGCGGCGAAGGCGGGUUGCUGGGCCGACACUGACGCUGAUGCGCGAAAGCCAGGGGAGCGAACGGG